Molecule: non-coding RNA, 286 nt
Organism: Chiloscyllium plagiosum (whitespotted bambooshark)
Lineage: Eukaryota; Metazoa; Chordata; Chondrichthyes; Orectolobiformes; Hemiscylliidae
Source: RefSeq, a predicted model, not a curated record
AAGGAGUGAGACUGACCCAAUGGGUGGUCCUUUGAUUUUGUCUAACUGGAUAGUGGAUCGCUCUAAAGGCUAAGUUUAGCUGCCCACGUCAAAUUACUCUACCAGCAACUUUCGAGAAAAGAUGGUCCAAGCUGAAGAGCAGCUUCAGUUGGUUCAAGUAUUACUUGAGGAUGACCCAUGGACACGUUGUAGUUAAUACUGAGCUCACCACAUGAUAGAAUCCCUACACUGUGGAAUCAAGCCAUUCGGCCCAUCGAGUCUACACUGACCUCUGAAGUAUAUCUCA